This 302-nucleotide ribosomal RNA is filed under the name Candidatus Liberibacter asiaticus. RNAcentral's name for it is "partial 23S ribosomal RNA". It matches the Rfam family "Bacterial large subunit ribosomal RNA", at positions 1414 to 1821 of the family's 2925-position model. Lineage: Bacteria; Pseudomonadati; Pseudomonadota; Alphaproteobacteria; Hyphomicrobiales; Rhizobiaceae. The record is from RNAcentral.
GCUGAUGGGAACCACAUUAAUAUUUGAGGGCAUGGUGGAAGUGACGGAUCAAGUAUUUUGUACGUUUUUCUUGGAUUAAGUGUGUUUUGGAUUGGUUCCUGGCUUUAUCUCCAUCGUAUAUUCCGUACCCGAAACCGAUUCAGUUGUUCUGGUAGUGCUUACUAAGGCGCUUGAGAGAACUGCGUUGAUGUAUUUCUGCAAAUUGCGCUCGUAUUUUCGGGAUUAGCGUGUUCUUUUUUUUGGCAACCCAGAGUAGGUAUCACAUUUUAGGGGGUAGCGUCAUGUUUCCAAAAACACAGGGC